Molecule: RNA transcript, 3436 nt
Organism: Passer domesticus (house sparrow)
Lineage: Eukaryota; Metazoa; Chordata; Aves; Passeriformes; Passeridae
Gene: ALG10
Gene name: ALG10 alpha-1,2-glucosyltransferase
Exons: 5
Source: RefSeq, a predicted model, not a curated record
CAGGCAUCCCCCGUUUCCCGGCGCCGCGUCCCUUCCCGCCCGGCCCCGCCGCCCCUCCCCGGAAGGGCGGCCCCGGCGCGGCCGGCGCGGAGCCGGCAUGGAGCGGGCCGAGGCCUACGGCUUCUCGGGCGCCAUGAGCGGCGCCUUCCUGCUGUCGUGCCUGCUCUUCGCGGCCGUCAGCCGCCGGCAGCGCGGGCCCUACAUGGACGAGGUGUUCCACAUCCCGCAGGCGCAGGCCUAUUGCCACGGCCGCUUCCUGCAGUGGGACCCCAUGAUCACCACGCUGCCCGGCCUGUACCUGCUCUCGGUGGGAGCCGCGAAGCCCGCGGCGUGGCUGCUCGGCUGGACGGGCAGCGUGGUGUGCUCCGUGGGAAUGCUCAGGUUCAUCAAUCUCCUCUUCAGUGCUGGGAACUUCUAUUUGCUCUAUUCACUUCUCUUCAAGAUCCAUCAGAAGAAUAAGGACCACCACCUAUGAUGCAUCUCUGCUCUGUGUUGAUGAAAGGAAUAUUGGCUCCCCAGCCAGUUCAUGGAUUGCUGUCCUGUGUUGGAAAGAUUUCCUGAUACCAGCCUCAAAUGCCACUUCCUCUGGCAGGGUAUCCAUUUUCUCUGAAAUCUGCCUUCUUGUCUUCUUGAAAGUUCUAUUAAUUUUUCAGUCACUAUUGGACUAAUAUGAAGUGUAGAACUGCUUCCUUCAGCUCCUUUAUUCUAAGCAGCAUGAGAGGCCUCAUGGGCUGCAGGAAUGAGGUCAGCACCACAUUUCGGAAAGGCUGUGACACAGAGCUCCUGUUUCUGCACUUUGAUGAGCUGGCUGCAGGACCGUGAUGCGUGCUCCAUGCCAACACGGACACACCAGGCAUGACUUCCAUGGGCACCUCUCCUGGGCCCCUCGUAAACAAACAUUUUUGCCAAUGGCUUUGUGAUAAACUAAGAGGUACGUUAAUUCAAUUUUUAAAUAGCAGAAUGCUGGUAAGGGUUGUGAAUCUACUAAGGGAUGGGGUGAGGUGUGAGAAUGCUUCUGACUGAUCCUGCCAAAGUCAGAUGUGUUUUCUGUAAUGCUUUACUGCUGGCUGGAGUGGCCCAAGCACCAAACUGCAUUGAAGGCAAAGGUGUCCUUGCUGGGUCCUGCCAAACCCCUUGUGGCCUCAGCCCAGGGCUCACAGACAAGGUGGUCUCAGCAUCUUGUUUUCCCCACUCCUGUCUCAGAGGUACCUACACUGCCAGCCUGGCUGACCUGGGGGCAUGGAGACUUUCACCUCCUACAACACAGCCAGCUUGGAACAAGGGAUAAGCAUAGCCAAGACCAAACAUGAUCUUCAUGGUCUACUGCUCAAAGCUCACUUUGCUGCACAGGAGGGCCUGUGGAUGGGGUUCAUCCAGGCAGACCCAGAAGGGGCUAUUAGCCCCACAACAUGUUCCCCAGCCAGCCUGCUGUCGUGGGGACAGCCUCAACAUUGGGAAUCAAAGCCUAAAAAUCAUCUUAACAUGAAAAUUUAAAUUGCUUUAAUAAUGAUUUUCACUUGGGCUUGGAGUUGCACGUGAUCUCUGUGUUUUACAGGGACAUUUAGUGCUGUCUCCUCUGCUGAGAGGCAGCUUUGUGUGUGGACAAACAAGUGCCAGGCUCAUGAAGGGAGGGUGUACUCCCAGACCUGGUAAGCCUUGCUGCUGUCAAGAUCUAGAGGGAGGAAAACUGGUCUCUGCUCCACCUGCCAGGCUGCUUCCUGCUCUCACAAAGCCCUUAGAAAAAUGAAACCAGUCAAAAAUUUGCAACCUGCCCUAAAACAAACUUUCUAAAUGUGAUUCAAACUUUGAAAGAUUUCAAUCUUGAGUUGUCUUGAAGUAAUUUUUUUAAUGUUAAUUUUCUACUAUUGACCUAAAAAAUCAGUCAUUUAGACAACCAUGCUCUGUGCAGAAAGGAUAAAGCUUAUCACAGAACCAAACACAAUUUUUCAGAGCCUGUUAGGAACAGGAAAAGUCCAUGCUGCUUGCCAUUAUAGAUUCAGAGCACAUUUCUUUGACCUGUCCUCCUCUCAAGAUAAGCAUAGUGCAUAUGCAAAUAACUGUAAUAAAUGCCAUCAACAGGCAAGUGGAAAAUAAGUACCUCAAGCAACUAAAGUAGCAGCUUGAACUGAAGCACGCCUCUCUUCCUGGGAAAAGAUAAAAGAACAAGUGCCUGACAGCAUGUGGGGCACCUCACCUUGCUUUUUGAAGGGUAAGUCAUGGUUAAAGCCUGGGAGUAGUAAUGGCACUUUUGUUGUCCCCCAUUAGCAGUGGUGCUCCCUGAGGUGGCAUCUCACAGCAUCCCCUGGUCACAAAGCACAGCAGUGCCAGCACAGCCAGAUCCUUUCAGGGGACAUGAAUGAGGAGAAGACCAGCUGAUGUCUGCUUUGUUCUGAGCCCAGAGAGCCCAGCACCAUGGAGUGCCAGGAAUGAGCUGCACCAUCAGCACGUACACAGUGCCCAGCUCUGGACGUCUUCUGGACAUGUCUCUAAGGGUGGACACACCCCAUGUCCAGAAGAUAUUCUCCAAUCAUUCAUCACUAUUUCUGUCUAAAAUAAGAUUUAUUCCCUUCUUCCUUCUACUGACAAAAGGUAAAGGUAAUUUUGAGCACUCAGUUAAAAAUCCCUGCCUGUGCCUAGUCUGUGUUAGGGGGUGGCUGUUAGUGACAGCCAUCCUCACUGAAAACACUGCCAGUAGUGUGCACUGCCGGGGCUGCAGACAUCAAGGGCCUCCUGUACAUCAUCCUAUAAAAACUCAGAUUUUCCUUUGUGCAAAAAUGCUAGCAAAUGGCUAUCUAAAAUCUCAGAGUUAUAUAAAUAUUUGUAAUUUCCCCAUCUUUUUCAUCCCAAAUCCACAAGGCUGGAACUUGAUACCAAGGGACCGAUGCCUAUUCCUGCUGUUCUCAAAAAUAAAUCUGUGGGCUAAAUCUAUCCCACUAUCUGAAGGAAACUUGACAAGGUGCAUUUAAAAUAAAAAUCUGAUAUUGAAAAACUAAGAAUGGUCUGCAGUAUCUAACCCACAACUAAAUUCUGUAUUAAACACUUAAGGUAUGUUAACAGAGGAAUGUACAGUUUGCUAUCAGCUUUUACUGAGUCAGGAGAGACCAUUGUGUAUGAGUGUUUCUGCAUGGGGAAUUCCAGUUCUGUCAGAAAUUUGCCUCUGUCACCAUCUGAGCUCUUGAAAAUUUUUUUUUUCUUCCAGUCAUUUUAAAAUGUAAUAACAAAAAUGAAAAUGCUAACAGAUUUGAAAUCACUUCAGGAUAUUUUGCCAACUAGAAACAUGUUGACUUUUUAAACAAAUGGCUUGCUUUCCCUGUAAUUAAUUUUAAAACAUUCAUUUUUGCACUGACAGACAUCAAGCAGCUAUUCUGCAGCUGUCUCAGGAUUUCUGAGCUUGACCUUAAUAAAUAAUACAAGGUUUUCUUAAUUUGAAGACUAA